RNAcentral lists this ribosomal RNA (433 nucleotides) under uncultured bacterium. RNAcentral describes it as "partial 16S ribosomal RNA". It matches the Rfam family "Bacterial small subunit ribosomal RNA", at positions 29 to 507 of the family's 1533-position model. The record is from RNAcentral.
AACGAACGCUGGCGGCAUGCCUAACACAUGCAAGUCGAACGAGACCUUCGGGUCUAGUGGCGCACGGGUGCGUAACGCGUAGGAACCUGCCCUUAGGUUCGGAAUAACUCCCCGAAAGGGGUGCUAAUACCGGAUAAUGUCUUCGGACCAAAGAUUUAUCGCCUUUGGAUGGGCCCGCGUUGGAUUAGCUAGUUGGUAGGGUAAAAGCCUACCAAGGCGACGAUCCAUAGCUGGUCUGAGAGGAUGAUCAGCCACACUGGGACUGAGACACGGCCCAGCCUCCGACGGGAGGCAGCAGUGGGGAAUAUUGGACAAGGGGCGAAAGCCUGAUCCAGCAAUGCCGGGGGAGUGAGGAAGGCCUUAGGGUUGUAAAGCUCUUUUACCCGGGAUGAUAAUGACAGUACCGGGAGAAUAAGCUCCGGCUAACUCCGUG